GGCUGGUUUGAUAGUAGUGGGCUAUCAGAACUUAUUAACAUUAGUGUCAUUGAAGUUGGUAUACAACAUCCCACUGCUAAAUUUGACUGGCUUGAA
This is a non-coding RNA of Pan troglodytes (chimpanzee), 96 nucleotides long. It matches the Rfam family "Y RNA". From Rfam's summary of the family: Y RNAs are components of the Ro ribonucleoprotein particle (Ro RNP), in association with Ro60 and La proteins. The Y RNAs and Ro60 and La proteins are well conserved, but the function of the Ro RNP is not known. The record is from Rfam. Lineage: Eukaryota; Metazoa; Chordata; Mammalia; Primates; Hominidae.